Molecule: long non-coding RNA, 733 nt
Organism: Olea europaea var. sylvestris
Lineage: Eukaryota; Viridiplantae; Streptophyta; Magnoliopsida; Lamiales; Oleaceae
Exons: 2
Source: RefSeq, a predicted model, not a curated record
UCUUAACCUUACAAAUAUACACAAUUCAUGCCCAUGUCUUUAUCCAAUGAAAACGAUAGCUCUUUAUUAUGUCGCCUACACAUAUCUACUUUUACUAUGCUUUAAUUGCCUUUCCCCAAUCCAGUGUUUAUUCUCAGAACCAGCCCCUACGCCGAAAUGAAUAAACGAGAUAAUUAGAUAAACACACCAAUCACAGGAUAAAUCCAACGACCGUAACCGGACAAAAAUCUACAAAACCUAAAACCAGUAGCCACCACCCUGUUCUCUGAUCUCUCACAGCUCAAUAUUUUUUCAAGUUUCAAGAAAAUGCCUCUUUCCUUUAACCCCCAGACUAGCCAAGGCCUUCCAGUUUGUCUUUCUGGGAUCAAUCUUCAUCCUUUUUCUUUCUCCAAGGAAAUGGCAGAUCAUGACAGAAGAAGGAAGGCCAUAAAAAAGAUGAAAUCUCAAGCUCUGCAUAUAGAUCAAGGAAGGACAAGGAAUGGGAGAGUGAAUAGAAAUGGAGAUGUUGCUUGCUUUUCUUUGGCUUGUUCAGCCAAGGCAGCAUAAUUUCAGUGAAUUUUAAUUAGCGCUAGUUUUUUAGGUUUGAUUAGUUUUAUGGGCUUGUUUUAAAUUUACUCCGUUUUGUAGAUCCGUGUUUGAUUUGAUCUUUUUUCUUAAAUUUUGACUGAAGAUCUGCAGUAUGAUGAAGGCUUAUUAAUCGGUGUAUGUAUGCUUUCUUUAACCUACUUUUUUU